RNAcentral lists this ribosomal RNA (266 nucleotides) under uncultured archaeon. RNAcentral's name for it is "partial 16S ribosomal RNA". It matches the Rfam family "Archaeal small subunit ribosomal RNA", at positions 718 to 982 of the family's 1478-position model. The record is from RNAcentral.
AGUCACUGACAUUAGACUACCCCCGUAGUCCCAGCCGUAAACAAUGUGCGUUAGGUGUGUCGGUAACCACGCGUUACUGAUGCGCCGAAGAGAAAUCGUGAAACGCACCACCUGGGAAGUACGGUCGCAAGGCUGAAACUUAAAGGAAUUGGCGGGGGAGCACCACAACAGGUGGAGCCUGCGGUUUAAUUGGAUUCAACGCCGGACAUCUCACCGGAUAAGACAGCUGAAUGAUUGUCAAUCUGAAGGUUUUACAUGACUAGCUG